Vicugna pacos (alpaca) is the source of this 1332-nucleotide non-coding RNA. The record is from RefSeq and is a predicted model, not a curated record. NCBI's taxonomy places the organism in Eukaryota, Metazoa, Chordata, Mammalia, Artiodactyla, Camelidae.
CCGGCCGGAGGGGGGACGCUCGGCGGGGCCUAGCGGGGUGGGGCCCGGCGUGCUGGGGCGGAGCUCCGCCUCCUCGCGGUCAGGUGAUUCCAGGGCAGCCAUCUUGAGUAGACGUUAAGCCAACUGCUUUUCUUGGCCUCCUCCCCCAGUUCCAUCGCCCCUUCGCCCAUCACCCUCAGGGCGGCUUGCCUUUCCUCAAGUAUAGGCUGAUUGCCACUUCCAACAAAUGAUGCUUCAGUUAUUUCAUCUGUAAAAAGCAGCUCCUUCAGUCUUCUCUUCAAUCACCAGAAUAUUUAUCAAGCAUCAACUAAGUGCUGAGCCUUCUGCAGGGGCAGGGGAAACAAGGCCCAAACUGUCUGAAAGCCAUGUCCAGGUCAAGCUGGGGAGGAAGACAACCCAAUGGACAUUUACAAUUCAGCAUGGUACUCCAGGACCUUGUGGAACAUGUGGGGACAUUGUUGAAUAGCCACACACCUUCUCCAUGCUAGGCCCUGUGCUGAUAGUGGAGGCACAGAGGUGGGUCCAUCUUUAUUCCUUAGAGGCCUCAGGCUGGUGGGCAGAGGGUCCCGUCACCACACUCCUGAACUUGCCUAUUCAAUCCUUUUACAGUUUAAGCCCCUACACAGUAGAACACAGUAAGACCUAUAAACAUGGGUUGACAAGAACUGGACUGGCUGAGUGGGAAAGCCCUUUCCCUCUCUGGACCUCUGUUUUACCACCUGCAUAAUGGUGUGGAAUUGACUUGAAGAAGUUGGGGGCUUUUUCAGUUCCAACAAUCUUGAAAGCAGUGACUCUCCAGGCCACGGAGCAGGGGAAGAACGGAGACAGAGGCAUAGCUGUUAGGAUGCCUGGCUAGGGAGGAGGCGCUCCUGCUCCUGCUGAGAGUUCCUUUGGAUUCCCAACCCUCUUGCCCUCACCUCUUCUCCCAGGAGGAUGUAAAACCCUUUGUAAAGCCUUGCUGAAACAGAGAGGCUGCUGUUUAGUCCUUCCCCAAGCCCUGCUGGGUUAUCUGACUGGCCCAGGGCCUAACCUGGCUGGUGACUGGCUGCUCCUUUCCAGCUGGCAUGGAACUGGAGUCCAGGCUAGGAAAAGAGAGUCCUGGAUCUCUGCCCAGAGGCUGCUGCAGCAAUGGGUUUUCGAGUCAGAUAGUCCUGGGAUCAAACCCCAGCUCUGCCACUUCUUAGCUGUGAGGCUGUGAUAAUUUUAUGUGUCAACUUGACUGGCUCACAGGGUGCCCAGAUAGCUUCAGACUUGGACUGGAACUGAACCACCAGUUUUCCUGGGUCUCCAUCUUGCUAAGUCACCCUGCAGGUCUUGGGACUUGCUGGCUUU